This 514-nucleotide long non-coding RNA is filed under the name Pan troglodytes (chimpanzee). RNAcentral describes it as "long non-coding RNA NONPTRT014700". Lineage: Eukaryota; Metazoa; Chordata; Mammalia; Primates; Hominidae. The record is from RNAcentral.
CAGCAAGAUAGCAGAAGCAGGAAGAGAGCUGGCCGGAACAUAUGUACCCUGUGAAGACCGAGAGAGAGGCCGUCCAGGUACCGCGUAGCAGUUACAUCAGACUGAGACACUUCCUGUUUACAGGAGACUAUAAAACCCCUGCCCCAUCCUCAUUUGGUGCUGAUGCCAUUUUAAGCCUCAGCACACCUGCACCCAGGCGCUCAUUAAAACAGCAUGCUGCUCCCCACUGCCUCGUGUUGUCUGUUGGCGCGCUGUCGGGGUUCGAACCGGUACAAGAACCUUUCACCUACCUGGUGCUUUGGCCUCAUCUGUAAGCUUUUCCACUGUCCUGAAACAAGAUAGAGAAUCUGAGCGGCCAGUCAUCUGCCCUAAGUGCUGCCGCCGAAGACUGAAUGUCCUGGAAAGUUUGCUGUCACAUCUCCAUUAUGACAAAAGCAUUGUGCCGAACAGAUGAAAAAAUGCAUUGUCAACGGAAUCUUUUAUGUUUGUUUGUUUUCCUUUAAGCAACUUUGCC